GGAGCCGAGCGAGCGGCGGGUGUCCCUGAGAGGCCACCUUUCGACCUUCGAGGGCCAGGAGGAUACGGGGAGGUGGCCGGAGGGAGUUCCCGAACACAGGUCUUCCUGUUCCCGCCGAGCAGGUGUUGGCGGUGCCAGGCCCGGCCUGGCGGGCCCGGGCUGGCAGCCAAAUACCCAGCGUCUGUGCUCGGGACGGGAGUGUUCGUCCAGGACGUGCAGCUCCGGAGCCUGCGCGGGCGACCUUGACCACCUUUGUCGGCUGUUUCCCCCUGAGGGAAGUAUACCUGUCCUGCCAGCCUUGGUCUCUGGCAGGGAAGGUCCUUCCAACAGAGAGGGAAUUGCUUAGAAUUGACUCAACACUGCCUCCUUGCUGAAUGGAUAAUUCAAGCAAACAACUCAAGAGCUGGAUGCUGCCCAGACAGGUAGGCAGCCAGAUAAAGUGAGUGUCCAGGGAAAGAGCAGUAAGGGUCAGAAGAGAAAGAGCCUGGUGUUCUCACUGCCUCCUGCCUUCCUUAUGACUGUCUGUUCAGAAGUCCUCCUAGCAUCUUUCUUCUGCCUUCCCCUGCUCCUGUCCCUGAAACCUUUUCUUCAAAAGAAGUGGAAAAGAGGAACUGGGAACCCAUAUAGCAACAGCAUCACCUGGAAUGAAUUCCUUUAGAACAUACUGUCUUGGAAAUCUGAAGCCUGCAGGGCUGGACAGGCAAGAAGAGCAGUGAGCACUGCAUGAACCUCACCCUUGAACUUCUAUAUGGUCUCCAAAGACAUGAUAAAUACAGAGAUUGCUCUCUCCUCUCAACUGCAACAGUAAUGAUUCCUUUGCAUUUUAAUUAAGUCUUUUACACAUGAAUAAGUCUUUAUCCUCAAAUGGACUAAAGACUCCUCGAGGACAAGAACUAUCCUUCAGUCCCAUACAUUGGUUACCUGGCAAAGGACCCUAAAUGCAGAUUAUGAAGUAGCUAUGGAAUUUGAAUGGGUUGAUUCUUCAGCUCCCAGAAAAAAACUUUGAUUGGUUUAACUGGCCACAGUAAUUGAUGUGGGAAUGAGGCCCUGACAUAAUUUCAACUUAGAAGACAUGUUCACUGGAAGUGAACUAGGAAGCAUGAAGUCUCAGACAUUCGACACUGAAAGAAUAAGCAGUCUUAGGAUGAAGGCAGUGCUAUGGACACCAGAACUCCAUGGUUCAGGCUGUUCAGCAUCAACUGUUCCUGACAGCCACCCUAACGUGCCUCCAGUUUCCUGGGCCAACAGAUGCCUGUCAUUGUUGAAGUUUCUUUGAGUUGGGUCUUCCGUUACUUACAAUUUAAAUCACCCUCACUGAUUACUAUGUACUUAAUUGUUCUCCUCCACUCUCUGCCAAUCCAUAUGCUGAAGCCUUAACCCCCAACGUGAUAGUAUUUGGAGACUGGAACUUUGGGAGAUAAUUAGAUUUAGAUGUGGUCAUGAGGAUGGGACCUUCAAGAUGAGAAUAGUAUCCUUAUAAAAAGUGGUACUAGAAAGCCUCUCUUUCUCUCUCUCUGCCACGUAAGAACACAGCAAGAAGGCAGCCAUCUGCAAGCCAGGAAGAGAGCCCUUACCAGAACUUGACCAUGCUGACACCCUGAUCUCAGAUGUGCAGCCUCCAGAACUGCAAAAAAGACACAUUUUCAUUGUUUAAGCUACCUAGUUUAUGGUAUUUUGUUACAGCAGCCCAAUCUGACUAAUACGCUGAUACAGGCAUAUUAGGGUACAUGCCACCAGCAGAGUGGUUCAACUGCAGGUCCACACUUACCCAGUGAAGGUGACUCAGCCUAGAGUGUGACUCAGUCUCUUCCCAACCCUGUCCGCAUCACCCCUGGAAGAGUCAGCUCCUCCCACAACUGCAGUCCUGACAGCAGCAUCAUGCCUCUGAAAUGAUCUUGCAAACAAGCUGUCAUUGGAGUGCUGAGAGAGUGGCAAUAUCAACUAAAAACAUGAAGAAGAAGAGCAACAAAGAGGAGGAAGAGGAGGAGAAGAGGGAAAGAAGUGAGGCGCUGUGGUGAAGAAUAGUACUUCUCAUCUCCACCAGAACAGCAGAGAACAAUGAAAGCACACCAUCAGGACGUCUCAGGGUACAGCCAGAAAAGCCAUUACCAUUUGUGCCAAUAUCUUUGAAAUCUUGUAUUUUGUCAUAAAAAGUUAUGCAGUUUCUGUAUUCUACUUCAUCAUGUGCCUUUAUAUUUUUUAUAUCAAAAUGUCUCCCUAAAAACCUUUGAGAAGGGCCAUUUUAUCUCAAAUCUUUGAAAUAAUUUCCUAGUCCCACCAUGCUUGCCCUGAGAUGUUCACACCCCAAUAUGAGAAGCACAUGUACAUCAGAAAGAGGACUGGACUUAGAGUUUUAAAUCUAAGUUCUUUUCCAAUACCAUGCUUUCCUAGUCUUGAUCUUGAAAAAUCACUCAUCAUCUUUAAGCUUCUCUUUCGUCAUGAGUGAAAGAAAGGAUGACACCAACACCUUCUCUCCCUUUCUCAUAGAAGCAUCAAGCUCCAAGUAGUUAAUGUGAGAAAAAGGACUUGGGAGAACAGGAAGCUCUGGCCUUUUUGUUGUGUAGGGUAUUUUCCCAAGAAUACUUUGGAAGUUUCCUUUAAUUUGUUCUUGGACUAACCUUUCCUAUUCACUCUGAUACCUUUUUGUUCAACCCUUGUAUCUGUGCAUGGAAGAGCACAGGAGGCAAAAAGAAUAAGGAUUUAUAGUCACUUGUCAAUAGGCGUGGAAGAGAAGUCAGAUUCUUAUUUAUUUGAGAUAAAGUCUAGCUCUGUUGCCAGGAUGGAGUGCAGUGGUGUGAUUUCUGCUCACUGCAACUUCCACCUCCUGGGUUCAAGUGAUUCUCCUGCCUUAGCCUCCCUAGUAGCUGAGAUUACAGGUGUGUACCACCACUCUCGGCUGAUUUUUGUAUUUUUAGUAGAGAUGGGGUUUCACCAUGUUGACCAAGCUGGUCUCGAACUCGUGACCUCAAAUGAUCCACCUACCUCGGCCUCCUAAAAUGCUAGGAUUACAGGCAUGAGCCACCGUGCUUGGCCAGAUUCUUAUUCUUGAGGUGACCUCUAUAUCCCUUCGUUCCCUUCAUGUCUGUAUCUUCCACCCUUAUCAUGGCAUCUCAAGUUUCCCUACUUAAGAGAAUCUGAGCCUGUAUCCCUCAUACUUGCCUUAUGGACAAAUCACCUGGGAUACAGGAAGGCAAGUGACUUCCAUCUGCAGUAACAGCUCUGGUUCAUUGGUUGCUUAGAACAUUACAUUGAGAAGAAUCACUCAAUGGGAAAGAAUAUAGAUGGGUUGGAGAUGUCUGCACAGACAGGGAAGUGAGAACAGCCACAUUUGUGGCAUCACUAGCUGUCCUUGGUUGACAGGCUCAAGAUGAGUC
Long non-coding RNA from Homo sapiens (human), 3374 nucleotides. Ensembl annotates it as GOT1 divergent transcript. Its record names the gene GOT1-DT. The record is from Ensembl. NCBI's taxonomy places the organism in Eukaryota, Metazoa, Chordata, Mammalia, Primates, Hominidae.